CUAGGUUACCCCAAAGCCUUCUCUUCUCCAGGCUGAGCAAUCCCAAUCCUCUCAGCCUUUCCUCAUGGCAGGGCUGCUCCAUCCCUCUGAUCAACUUGGUGUCCCUCCUCUGGACUCUCUCCAACAGGUCGAUGUCCUUCCUGUGCUGGGGACCCUGGAGCUGGAUGCAGAAGUUCAGGUAAGUGUCUCACCUGAGCAGACCAGAGGGAAAGAAUCAACUCCCAUCUGGACCCAUGGCUUGGAACAGGGAAUAACUCUUAUUAUAAAAAGUAAGUGAAAAUGUUAUGUGUAAACCAGAUCUAUUUUCAAGGGGAGGGGUUGUUGCUUUCAUUUACAAAUAAGAAGAGCGUUUCCUGAGAGUAACAGGAGGGUUAGUAACUGCUCUGGAUUCCCUUGUGCCCUCCAACAUCAUUCCUGUGGGCUGCUAUAAAAUAAGCCAGGUCCUGGGGGUGGUAAUCCAGUUGUGUUCUGCUAGGAAAGGCAGCCAGCAUUUCCAGAGUGGUGCUCCCAGUUAAGGUCCCAUAAUCCUGUGGCUUUGCCAAGUGCCUUGAAGAGGUGGUAAACCAGACCUGGGGAUUAUUGGGGGGAAAACAGAGUUAUCUUCCCAAUAUCCUGCUGUGUGUGAAACCAAGGUGUGGGCAGACCUUUAGCCUUCCAGGGGUGAUCCACCUGCUGGGAUUGGAGAACAGGCUGUGUCUCUGGGAGAGAGUGUGUGUUUACCCAGAGAGAGUGAAGCCCUGCCAGGCAGUGCUUUCCACCCGACGGCAGGGCAAAGGCCUUUGCAAUGGGAGUGCUGCCAUGUUCCGGGGAAAUGGGGUUAUCUGUGGGAGGAACAGCUGUGGCACUCCUCCCAUGUUCCAGCUUCUCCUUCCUGAGAAGGGCUCAGCUCUCCGGACAGCCCAGGAGGUCAUGCACUCAGCAGCAGUUCCCAAAGCCCAUGGAUGUCACAGCCAGUAGGGAAGGACUCGGCCUUCCUUCCACACAGUAUUCCUGGAGCUUUCUGCCAUGCCAGGAUCUUUCCAGAAAGCCGGAGCUCCCUGCCUGCCGUCCGGGAUCAGCAUGGCACAUUCCAGAUGAGGAGCCCGACCAAGGUAAUUUGGGAAGGGCUGCGGAAUUUUAGAAUUCUUCAAAUCCAAGAGCACAGGGCCACCCUGCAAGCACCCCAACCCUUGGCCAGACCCUCCGGGUGGGAACAAAACACAUUUUAUUUCACAGAUAUUAAACGUCUCAUCGCACAAAGACAUGGGAAUCGGGACUGCCACGGUAUCGGGGAUGGGGUACCCAACGUGGGGCACUCGAGAGCCGCACGGCAGCCUGGCAAAGGACACUUUUGUGGAGACAUUUUGUUCAGUCACGUCUCUUCGGCCGCCCUGAGGGGCUCGCGCUCCUCCUCAUGGCGCCGCCUGGCGGUCACGCGGGGCAGGGCGCAGGUGUUAAGGGAG
This 1442-nucleotide long non-coding RNA is filed under the name Chloebia gouldiae (Gouldian finch). RNAcentral's name for it is "Erythrura gouldiae (Gouldian finch) lncRNA (ENSEGOG00005015050.1)". Lineage: Eukaryota; Metazoa; Chordata; Aves; Passeriformes; Passeridae. The record is from RNAcentral.